UAUUUGUAACACUACAAGAAAAAAGGAAUUUAGUGGCGGUCAAAUAGCAACAGUUUGCACCCAAACUGCCGCCGCCUACCCACUACAAAAAAAAAGAGGAUUAACGACACAAUGAUAAGGCAGUUUAGAACCGCUGCUGCAUGUUCCUAAGUAAAAUUUUCAUUCUCUCACUUAUAUAUUUUUGUGAUUCCCACAAGAAAGAAAGAACACGAGAAAGCGCUGAAAUCCUUCUUCUCCAAACCGUUGCCGUCUCAAAUCACGAUGUCUUCUCCAAAACCCUUUCAUCUCCAAAUCGUCUUCUGCAAACCAUCGUGAGAGUUCCAACUCGUCAUAUCUCCUGUUCAUCUCCGUCGUGACCGAGUUAGAGACACCGAUUGAUACAAAUCCCUUCGAUUUCUACACAUAGUUGCUUCCAAUUUCUUCGAUUUCGCAGCUCAAACCUUCAAUCUCUUUGAUUCGCAGCCCAAUCCUCCAAUCCCUUUGAUUGCCCUAAUCAGAUUUGUGCAUAUAAGAUAUGGAAGAUUAGUUCCUGGAAUCAACAGUUUUGAUUCAUGAGGAGAAUCAUAAACACAUGGCUGCAUUUAAAUUGCAGAAAGCAUACAAGAUUUUUCGCACGCGAGGAAGGCUGGCCGAUUAUGCAAUUCUUAUUGAACAAAGUGGGUCAAGACUAUUCGACAAGGUUAUCUCUCGAAGCGUUCCUCAAACUUAUGGGGGACUGGAAAAGGAGGUUUUUUCGUUCUUGAUAGCCGGGGAAUGCUGUAUUACUAUCGUAAAUAAUGCAGCAAACUAUCUGGGUCUAAUAGCCAACAUUUUGGUCAGAGGAAUAGUUUGGAGCUUGGUUCUGGACUUCUAAGUCGACAAAGAACUACACUUUACAAAUAGUGCACUAGACCAAAUGGACUGGAUUGAAAAAAUCACAGUUUGUUGAAUGAAGGAUUGUUUCUAAGUGGAUAAGAGGCUUGGAGUUCACCAAUCUAAUGUAGAACUUCUUCUGUGACAUGGUUCAGGGGAAGGCACAUGGUGCUAUAAUGUAGUGAAAGUUUCCUAUCCGUAUUGUUUAUCAUGGCCAAAUUGUGAAGGUGGUUUAUAUGACGACGAUGUGCACGUACGCGCGGUUGCAAGCAUUAAAGUUUGCUUUGGAAUUGGGGGAUGUUUUUUUAUAGAAUUGGAUCUCAAGGUAUACCAUGAGUAAUUCAAGUGUGAAAUCAGAUGAUCUAUAUAGUUGAUUUUCUAUAUUGCUUUGUUGUCUAAGAGCUUGUUAGUAUCUUGUUUGUUUUGCUACACUUUUUAAUGUAAUAGUUUUAUGUUUAGUGUGUUAACUCAAAGCAAUUUUGAUGUAAACUUGUGAGUAUCAUUUUCUACAUGAAUUGUGAGAAUCAAUUACUUGAUAUGUUUAGUAAAAUAAUGUAUGGGGAUGUUGUGUGUUUUAGAUUUUGUUAUAUUAAUAUUAAUGGGAAUCAAGAGUGUUAAAUACACCAUU
Molecule: long non-coding RNA, 1480 nt
Organism: Trifolium pratense (red clover)
Lineage: Eukaryota; Viridiplantae; Streptophyta; Magnoliopsida; Fabales; Fabaceae
Exons: 7
Source: RefSeq, a predicted model, not a curated record